Molecule: long non-coding RNA, 353 nt
Filed under: Mytilus galloprovincialis (Mediterranean mussel)
Lineage: Eukaryota; Metazoa; Mollusca; Bivalvia; Mytilida; Mytilidae
Source: RNAcentral
CAGCUUCACUGAUACACGAGGUGUCACAAGACAAUAUUGACAUUGAUAUAGAUCAGACUCAAAUUAAUGUUCAAAUAAAGAAAAUAGAUAUUGCUGUUUGUAAGCAAGCUACAACAAAUACAGAGAAUAAGAAAAUACAAUUGAAUGACCUCGACAUAGAAAAGGAAAACCUUACCGAUGAACAAAUAGAAAAAGUUAAAGAUUUGUUAAACAAGAACACCGAUAUAUUUUGUAAAAACGAUUUAGAUUUAGGAUAUACAGACAUUGUAAAGCAUAGAAUUCUUACAACAGACGAGAAACCAAUUGCGAUUCCACAUAGACGCAUUCCACCUAAUCAAAUGGAAGAAGUUAGA